Molecule: ribosomal RNA, 303 nt
Filed under: uncultured bacterium
Lineage: Bacteria
Description: partial 16S ribosomal RNA
Rfam family: Bacterial small subunit ribosomal RNA
Source: RNAcentral
AGCAGUAGCCGCGGUAAUACGGAGGGAGCUAGCGUUGUUCGGAAUUACUGGGCGUAAAGCGCGCGUAGGCGGUUACUCAAGUCAGAGGUGAAAGCCCGGGGCUCAACCCCGGAACUGCCUUUGAAACUAGGUGACUAGAAUCUUGGAGAGGUCAGUGGAAUUCCGAGUGUAGAGGUGAAAUUCGUAGAUAUUCGGAAGAACACCAGUGGCGAAGGCGACUGACUGGACAAGUAUUGACGCUGAGGUGCGAAAGCGUGGGGAGCAAACAGGAUUAGAUACCCCCGUAGUCCCUGUCUCUUAUAC